RNAcentral lists this ribosomal RNA (465 nucleotides) under uncultured bacterium. Its description in RNAcentral is "partial 16S ribosomal RNA". It matches the Rfam family "Bacterial small subunit ribosomal RNA", at positions 339 to 795 of the family's 1533-position model. The record is from RNAcentral.
CUACGGGACGCACCAGUGAGGAAUUUUGCGCAAUGGGGGAAACCCUGACGCAGCAACGCCGUGUGAGUGAAGAAGGCCUUCGGGUCGUAAAGCUCUGUCAAGUGGGAAAAAAGUCUUUCGGUAAAUAGCCGGAAGGCCUGAUGGUACCACUAAAGGAAGCACCGGCUAACUCCGUGCCAGCAGCCGCGGUAAUAGCGGAGGGUGCUAGCGUUGUUCGGAAUUAUUGGGCGUAAAGAGCGUGUAGGCGGCUUGGUAAGUCAGAUGUGAAAGCCCUGGGCUCAACUCAGGAAGUGCAUUUGAUACUGCUUUGCUUGAGUAUGGGAGAGGAGAGUGGAAUUCCCAGUGUAGAGGUGAAAUUCGUAGAUAUUGGGAGGAACACCCGUGGCGAAGGCGACUCUCUGGACCAAUACUGACGCUGAGACGCGAAAGCGUGGGGAGCAAACAGGAUUAGAUACCCGUGUAGUC